This 645-nucleotide ribosomal RNA is filed under the name Salmonella enterica subsp. enterica. RNAcentral's name for it is "partial 23S ribosomal RNA". It matches the Rfam family "Bacterial large subunit ribosomal RNA", at positions 566 to 1190 of the family's 2925-position model. The record is from RNAcentral. Lineage: Bacteria; Pseudomonadati; Pseudomonadota; Gammaproteobacteria; Enterobacterales; Enterobacteriaceae.
CGAAAGCGACGUUCAACCGCAAAACAAGCAGAGGGGGCUUAGUGGUGGGGUGACUGCGUACCUUUUGUAUAAUGGGUCAGCGACUUAUAUUCUGUAGCAAGGUUAACCGAAUAGGGGAGCCGGAGGGAAACCGAGUCUUAAUUGGGCGUUAAGUUGCAGGGUAUAGACCCGAAACCCGGUGAUCUAGCCAUGGGCAGGUUGAAGGUUGGGUAACACUAACUGGAGGACCGAACCGACUAAUGUUGAAAAAUUAGCGGAUGACCUGUGGCUGGGGGUGAAAGGCCAAUCAAACCGGGAGAUAGCUGGUUCUCCCCGAAAGCUAUUUAGGUAGCGCCUCGUGAAUUCAUCUCCGGGGGUAGAGCACUGUUUCGGCUAGGGGGCCAUCCCGGCUUACCAACCCGAUGCAAACUGCGAAUACCGGAGAAUGUUAUCACGGGAGACACACGGCGGGUGCUAACGUCCGUCGUGAAGAGGGAAACAACCCAGACCGCCAGCUAAGGUCCCAAAGUCAUGGUUAAGUGGGAAACGAUGUGGGAAGGCCCAGACAGCCAGGAUGUUGGCUUAGAAGCAGCCAUCAUUUAAAGAAAGCGUAAUAGCUCACUGGUCGAGUCGGCCUGCGCGGAAGAUGUAACGGGGCUAAACCAU